Molecule: ribosomal RNA, 378 nt
Filed under: Staphylococcus epidermidis
Lineage: Bacteria; Bacillati; Bacillota; Bacilli; Caryophanales; Staphylococcaceae
Description: partial 23S ribosomal RNA
Rfam family: Bacterial large subunit ribosomal RNA
Source: RNAcentral
GAUUAAGUUAUUAAGGGCGCACGGUGGAUGCCUUGGCACUAGAAGCCGAUGAAGGACGUUACUAACGACGAUAUGCUUUGGGUAGCUGUAAGUAAGCGUUGAUCCAGAGAUUUCCGAAUGGGGGAACCCAGCAUGAGUUAUGUCAUGUUAUCGACAUGUGAAUUCAUAGCAUGUCAGAAGGCAGACCCGGAGAACUGAAACAUCUUAGUACCCGGAGGAAGAGAAAGAAAAAUCGAUUCCCUGAGUAGCGGCGAGCGAAACGGGAAGAGCCCAAACCAACAAGCUUGCUUGUUGGGGUUGUAGGACACUCUAUACGGAGUUACAAAAGAACAUGUUAGACGAAUCAUCUGGAAAGAUGAAUCAAAGAAGGUAAUAAUC